RNAcentral lists this ribosomal RNA (404 nucleotides) under bacterium. RNAcentral's name for it is "partial 16S ribosomal RNA". It matches the Rfam family "Bacterial small subunit ribosomal RNA", at positions 355 to 776 of the family's 1533-position model. The record is from RNAcentral.
UCGGGAAUUUUGCGCAAUGGACGAAAGUCUGACGCAGCAACGCCGCGUGAGGGAUGACGGCCUUCGGGUUGUAAACCUCUUUUGUCAGGGACGAUGAUGACGGUACCUUACGAAUAAGCCACGGCUAACUACUUGCCAGCAGCCGCGGUAAUACGUAGGUGGCAAGCGUUGUCCGGAUUUACUGGGCGUAAAGAGCGCGCAGGCGGUCGUUCAAGUCGCGUGUGAAAGCCCCCGGCUCAACUGGGGAGGGUCACGCGAUACUGAUCGAGUCGAAGGCAGGAGAGGGUAGUGGAAUUCCCGGUGUAGUGGUGAAAUGCGUAGAUAUCGGGAGGAACACCAGUGGCGAAGGCGACUACCUGGCCUGUUCUUGACGCUGAGGCGCGAAAGCUAGGGGAGCAAACGGG